This is a long non-coding RNA of Phocoena sinus (vaquita), 3678 nucleotides long. The record is from Ensembl. Lineage: Eukaryota; Metazoa; Chordata; Mammalia; Artiodactyla; Phocoenidae.
GGAGUCUGGGGCCGUCGGUAGCGGUGGCGGCCUGCGACCCCGCUAGCGCUCCAGCAAGCGGGAGGGACGCGUCCAGUGCAUUCGCGAGAUCCAGCUGCCGGUCCCUGGAAUCUACUCGCGCAAGGCAGCGGCUGCACCGACGGCCCGAGGUUCCCGGUCAGCGGGCUGCGGAGUAUCGUGCGGGUAGCAAGGGGAGGGCGAGUGCUCCUGCGGCCCCCAGACGACAGCCAGAACAUGCAUCAUUGUUAGAACCAUCACCCUGCAGCUAGCUUGGACACCAUUAAAAGGGCUCAUCAGCUGCAAAUGGAUAGAAGUAUCUGAUAUUCGCGAAGACAGAGUUUCAGGGCUUCUACCUGGAGCUACACUCUCCAAAAGUCCCUGCUUGGCCUCCCUGCACCCAACCCUACCCCAUCCAGUCACAACUUGGGUCGUGUGGUGUUUCUUGGCAACUGGAACACAGACUCCUCCAGCAGCUCCGCAGGCCCCUUGUCCUCAGUGAGCAGAAGACUACAGAAGCUGGCUACUGAAGAGGCUGUCCAAGUCUUAGAGCUCCUCUUCGGCCCUGCUUAGCACAUUUACCACAGAGCAGUAACUGAGUGCUGGAUGUUACUCAUUCGUGUUCACCACCUGCAGGGACUGCAGAGGGAUUUGUCAGACCCCAUUUCACUAAGGGCCACCCUCUAAGGAUCUCCACAGGAGGCUGCCCAUAGAGAGAAGUGGCCUGCCUAGGGUCUCCACUGCCUUAAGGCCUACGUGGACACUUCCAGGCCUAAGGGGAUUAAUAUUUCUUCACCUACCUGUCAUCCACAUAUCAACUGGAAAAUUCUCCCUCCUGUUGUUUUUUGUUCUUUUGUUUGUUUUUUGGUAGGAAGAGUUUUAACUACUGCUUCAAUUCCUUUAGUAGUUAGAGGACUAGUCAGCAUUUCUUUUUCUUCUUGAGUCAGUUUUGGUAAGUUAUAGUUUUCUAGGAAUUGGUCCAUUUUGUCCACCUUCUCAAGUUUAUUGGCAUAGUUUCCUUAUUUUUUUAUUCUCUGCUGUAUACAAUCUGUAGUUAUGUCUCCUUUUUCAUUGCUGAUAUUGGUUAUUUGUGCCUUCUCACUUUUUUUCUUGAUCAAUCUCACCAGAGGUUUGUCUAUUUUACUAGUCUUUUCAAAGAACCAACUUUUGGCUUUGUUGCUCCUCUCUAUUUUGUCUUUGUUUUCUAUUUCUUUAAUUUCUGCUCUUAUCUUUUUUGAUCUCCUUCCUUCCACAUUUUUUGGAUUUAUUUUGUUGUUAUUUUUCUAAUUUCUUAAAUUGGACACCAACCUUAUUAAUUUUCAGUCUUUCUUGUUUUCUACUUUGCACAUUUAAGGACGUAACUUUCCCUCUAACUACUGCUUUUCUACAAGUUCAGCCAUGUCAUAUUUCGUUACUGUACAGUUCCAAGUAUUUCAGCAUUUCCAUCAUGGUUACUUCUUUGACCUGCAAGUUAUAUAGAAGUGUGUUUCUAAAUGUUUAGAGAUUUUAAAGUUUAUGUUAUUGAACUCUAUCUUUAAUUGCAUUAUGGUCAGAGUAUGUGAUCUGUGUGAUAAAAAUUCUGAAAUUUAUUGAGACUUGUUUUAUGGCUUAAUAGGUGAUCAAUAUUUUUUAAUGUUUCCUAUGUGAUUUAUAAGAAUGUAUGUUCUCUAACUGUUGAAUACAGAGUUCCACAUAAGUCUGUUAUCAAAUUUGUUAAUCGUAUUGUUCACAUUUCCUAUAUCUAAACUGAUUUUUUGGUCGUAAUAUACCAAUAAUUAUAAGGUAUGUUAAUAUGCAGUUAUGAUGGUGGAUUUGUCUAUUUCUCCUUGUAGUUCUUUUUUUUUCUUUUACUUAUUUUGAGGGUAUUUUAUUAGGAAUAUUCAAAAUGAGAAUUGUUAUAUAUUCCUGGUAAACAUGUAAUGACCCUCUCUAUUUCUGAUAAUGCAUUUUUUCCUUGAAGUCUAUUUUAUCUUACAUUAAUAUAGCAACACAAACUUUUCUUCUCCUUAGGAUUUGUGUGGUAUAUAAUUUUCCAUCCUUUUACUUUUCAGCGUUUUCAUGCCUUUAUGCUUUAAUCAUAUCUCUUGGAAAUGGCAUAUAGUUGGACCUUUUAAAACAUCUAAUAUAAUAAUCUCUGUCUUUUAAUGGUCAAGUUUAGUCUGUUUACACUUAUUGUGAUAUAUUUGGACUUGUUUCUACCAUCAUACUUUUUUUUUUGCGAUACACGGGCCUCUCACUGUUGUGGCCUCUCCCAUUGCAGAGCACAGGCUCCGGAUGCGCAGGCUCAGUGGCCACGGCUUACGGGCCCAGCCGCUCUGCAGCAUGUGAGAUCUUCCUGGACCGGGGCACGAACCCGUGUCCCUUGCAUCGGCAAGCAGACACUCAACCACUGCGCCACCAGGGAAGCCCCCAUCAUACUUUUUUAUUUCUAUUUCCUACCACCACCUUUUUGAUGCUUCAUUUUUCUCUUUUUUUUUGCCUGCUUUUUAGUUUUGAAAUUUGUUUGUUUGCUUUCUUAAUCAUUUUUUUCCCUCCCUACUGUUUGGAAUUUACCUAUUCUUUUUCCUUUCUUUCUGUGGUUAUCCUUGAAAUUUUACCAUGCAUGUUUAACUUACAAGGUUUAAAGUUAAACAGUAUUUUAACCUCCCUCUUGAAGAAUGCAGGAACCUUAGAAACCUUCAACUCUAGUCAUUCCUAUCUUGACCACAUGUUAUUUUUUUGAGUGUGUUAGUUUGUUCCUUCUUCCCCUGACCUCACUAUUAUAUCAUCAUUAGUAUUAAUUUAUAUAGAUGGUAUGUGUUUGGAUUUAAAUGCAUACAUUCUUGCAUCUCAGAACAUCGUUCUGGGAUCAUUUUCCUUCAUUAUGAUUACGAUGUUUAGAUACUCUUUUAGUACAUAUCUGUUGGUGUUAAAUUCUCCUAGUCUCUGUUAUAUGUAAAUGUAUUUAUUCUCAUUCUUAAAAGGUAGAUUGUUAUAGGUAAUAUUAGAAGUCCACUAUCAGUCUAAUUGCUGUUUUUUGUAGGUGUUUUUGUUUUCUUAUAUUCUGACUACUUUUCUCUCUCUUUUUUUUGGAGGGGAGGGGUAUAUUCAGGGGGUUCUGCAGUUUCAUUCUAUCAAUGUUUAGGUAUGUAUUUCUUUUUUAUUAUUCUACUUUGGAAAUGUGCUUUAUGCCUCUGGAUUCAUGUUUUUCAUAAUUUCUGGAAAAUUCUCAGCCAUUAUCUCUUCAAAUAUUGCCUUUCUUCCAUUCUUUCUAUAUUUUCUUUCUCAGAAUUCUGUUGGUCAUAUUUUGGACCACCUCAUUCUAUCUUCCAUAUCUCGUAACAUUUCAUUGAUAUUUUCUAUCUUCUUGUCUUCCUGCACUUCAUUCUAGGCAAUUUCUUCAGAUAUAUCUUUCAGCUUAUUGAUUCUCUCUUCAGCUCUGUCUGAUCUGCUGUUUAAUCUGUCCACCGAGUUUUUUAUUUCAAGAAUUGUAUUUUUCAUUUGUACAAACUUCAUAUAUUUCACUUUCUAAUCUUCCUAGUCAUCCCUAAUAGUCUCUUGUUGCUUGCUCAUCUUUGUGGUUGCAUUUAUUAUUUCUUUAAACAUGUUAUACAAUUUUUGUUCAGCCAGUAAUCACUGUUUGUCUAAGUAUGGCAUUGUAAAUAUUGUUCACAUCCAAACAACAUAGUACAGUCUGAUUAC